Pelobates cultripes (western spadefoot toad) is the source of this 757-nucleotide non-coding RNA. The record is from the annotation of a GenBank genome assembly. NCBI's taxonomy places the organism in Eukaryota, Metazoa, Chordata, Amphibia, Anura, Pelobatidae.
AGCAAAUCCAGUGUGGUACCUUCCUUCCUCAUCAGCAUAUCUGGAGCCAUCUACAAACGGUGAAAUCAGGUUCCAGCAGAGCAGUUUCAUAUACUGUUGGAAGAUGUGUUGUGUUGUCUCCAUCUUCAUCUGUUCAAAACAGUCAUGGGGUGCAUCUAGAUCUUGAUCCGCAGGAGGGGCAUCAAUGCAUAUUUCACAGUUCGAUUAGUGACCCCUUCUCCAGAAAGCUGGUCUUGAUCAGCUGUGCUCCAUGAGCUGGCCAAUGGGCCAAGUUCUUUCCACAAGAGUUGUAGGGAUUUAGUGAAGGAGACGUGAGGAACCGCCAAAUCCCAGUGAUGGUACAUGUGUCUUACUUCCAUAGGCAAGAGGACUAGAGCCACGCUGUUGCCCGUGGAGUCACAGAACAGGCCUGUCGAGAUGAGACUUACCUCCACCAGCUGGAACAGUUCUUCCUCAUAAUGUGUGUCAGGUCCUGGAGUAUUUCUGAACCACAAAGCGCAAUGGGGGAAAGACUGAGCAUUAUGUGGAACGGAAGGAACACACACAUUCAUGAAGAUGAUGGAGUCCGGGUCUAUAUCAAGACUGUACCAGUAGCAGGGGAUUCACCCCCCACCCCCGGGAAGUGGCAGAAGAGUGGCCGGGUUGAGAGAGUUACAUCUUUGCAGGGUGACAUUAUCUGGGAGCAGAAGGGUAGAUUGAAGGCGGAGGUGAUGAGCAGAUGAGAGGUGUUUAGGUUGAGUCUGGUUGAGGAUGGCAG